RNA transcript from Morus notabilis, 2570 nucleotides. It is a transcript of the gene named receptor-like serine/threonine-protein kinase NCRK, with no coding region annotated. Lineage: Eukaryota; Viridiplantae; Streptophyta; Magnoliopsida; Rosales; Moraceae. The transcript is spliced from 11 exons. The record is from RefSeq and is a predicted model, not a curated record.
CUUGGUUUUUGUGUUGAUGCAGCAUUAUUAAGUGUAAAAUUCUCAUCCUGAAUUUCAUAUGCUGCUCAGGUUGGAGCAAAUGAAAUUCCACGCGGAAGUUGUCCUUGCUUGCGUUGUCAGCUUCAUUUGUGUUCAUCAAAGUCUUUGUGAUGAAAUUUCCAACACCUCUGGCAUAAAGGACUGGACGUGUGAAUGCUCCUCUUCAUAUCAAGGGAAUCAGAGUUACACAAUUGGAUCUAACUGUUCAACAUCCUGCGAUUGCAGUCAGGAUGGUGGAAGUAUAUGGAGGUGCCAAUGUCCUGCAGAUGGGCUUCCUAAAGUUGCAGCUGAUAGCCAGUAUACUAACUGUUUUGCAGCCUGUAACUGUUCCAUUGGAUCUCUUGGUGAUACAGAAUCUUCAAAAACGCACAUUUCAAGCAAAGUUGUUGUAGUUGUAUUAUUAAUAUGUGUCAUCCUUACAACUCUUGCAUUUCUCUCCUCGGUGGCAUGCUACUUCUACCGAAAAGACAAGUCUGCUAUUCAACCACCAGUGUUGUCAUCAGACAGAGAAACUAGUUUCAACAGUGCUGCCAAUUUAAUUAGCCACAGGACUUAUUCACUCUCUGAACCCAAAACUGUUAUAAAUUCUCCUAUUAAACAAAUCAAAGGGUGCUUUCACAGGAAUUCUUUCUUGUUGGGGAGCAGAACAGGAACAAUACAUGGAUUGAUUGUUCAAUUUUCGUACUCUGAAUUGCAUGAUGCCACUGAAAAAUUUUCAAAGUCUAAUCUUAUAGGAGUUGGGGGAAGUAGUUAUGUUUAUCGUGGUAAGCUCAAAAAUGGCAAGACUGUGGCAAUUAAGCGACUAAAAACUCAGAAAGGGCCUGAUGCCGUUUCUGUGUUUUUGACAGAGAUUGAGAUAUUAUCCAGACUGAAUCACUGUCAUCUGGUGCCUCUGGUUGGCUACUGCUCAGAAACCCGCGGAAAAAAUGCUGAGAGGUUGUUAGUGUUUGAUUACAUCCCUAACGGUAAUCUGCGAGAUUGUUUAGAUGGGGCCUCGGGGAAAAAGAUGGAUUGGGGUGCUCGAGUUGGAAUUGCAAUUGGAGCUGCAAGAGGAUUAGAGUAUCUCCAUGAAGCAGCUGCUCCAAGAAUUCUGCAUCGAGAUGUCAAAUCAACAAACAUUCUUUUGGAUGAAGAAUGGCGAGCAAAGAUAACUGAUCUUGGUAUGGCAAAACACUUGAGAGCCGAUGGUCUCUCCAGCGGUUCGAAUUCUCCAGCAAGAGUGGAGGGGACUUUCGGCUACUUUGCACCAGAGUAUGCGAUUGUUGGACGAGCCUCUCUUAAGUCGGAUGUUUUCAGUUUUGGGGUUGUUCUUCUUGAGCUUAUCACUGGUCGGCCGCCUAUUCAUAAACAAAGUGGCAAAGGAGAAGAAAGCCUUGUCAUAUGGGCUACUCCUCGGUUACAGGACAGUAGGCGAAUAAUCAUGGAGCUGCCGGACCUGAAUUUAGAUGGUAAAUUCCCAGAAGAAGAGAUGCAGAUAAUGGCUUACUUGGCAAAGGAAUGCCUGCUAUUGGAUCCCGAGGCUAGACCAACAAUGGGUGAGGUUGUUCAAAUUCUUUCAACUAUUGCACCAGAAAGAUCUAGAAGGACGAACAUCUCUGUGAAUUUUUCUCAGAGGUCGUCAACUUAUGGUGCGCACAGCGAAGAAUGCAUAGACAUACCUGACUGCAGCCAUAUUUCCAAACAACACAUGCACACAGAGAGUUCUGAGGAUGCAGAGGAGCUAAAGCGAGUCGUGUCCUAUAAUCUCUCGGUUCAGUGUUCAGUGCCACUAGAUGUCAACCACACAGCUAUUCAUGUUGAAGACAAGGAAGAAAAUAGAAUUUCAGCUGAGUAUAUGGAGAGAUUGGUACUCUUGGCAUCAAAAGCUAGGAGCUGGCGUGCCUCGGAUGAUGAGACAGUAGACUUGACUGAACCUUGGUUUGAAUCAUUCCACAUGGGAAGUGUUCGUCCCCCAUAACUUGCUAGCAAACAUGGACUUAGCAAGAGAAAGAGGACCAGAACUUUGUCCUGAUGGAGGGUAUUACUUGAUGACAGGAUGGUGCGACAUUUGAGAUAUAAUAUUAUAAGCCAUCUGUAUUUUAGACAACUCCCAUUACUGCAUUUUAAGAGCUGCUGUGAGAAAUGGAUCUGCAUCCACCGCCACCGCCACCGCCAAGCGAACCGUUGCUGCCUCCGGCUCCGGCUCCUCCUGAGGGAGGAUUCUUAGAAUCAUGUUUGUCGUUUCUGUGCUGCUGUGGUCUAUUUAGAAGCUGCUGUCCACCGCUCUUUGCACCUGGACCUCCCCCUCCCUAAUGUUGCAAACGACAAUCUUCAUAUCACAGAAUCACAGAAUCUUUUGUAAUUUAUUUACGAACUCUUUGUAUUGUGAACGUAUAUGUUGGCAACAACUUAAAAUGUAAUUGGAAAUGGACCUGUCACCUCUCCUGUGUACGCCGAUCGAGAAAAUUUGAUUUUUAGUUCUCUUACGUGUAUGGUUUUAUAUUACUAAAUAAAUUAUUUAACACAAUGUAAGCAUUUUUCUACUUGUAUGU